GGAUUAGUGGCGAACGGGUGAGUAACACGUGGGUGAUCUGCCCUGCACUCUGGGAUAAGCCUGGGAAACUGGGUCUAAUACCGGAUAUGACCUCGGGAUGCAUGUUCUGGGGUGGAAAGUUUUUCGGUGCAGGAUGAGCCCGCGGCCUAUCAGCUUGUUGGUGGGGUAAUGGCCUACCAAGGCGACGACGGGUAGCCGGCCUGAGAGGGCGACCGGCCACACUGGGACUGAGACACGGCCCAGACUCCUACGGGAGGCAGCAGUGGGGAAUAUUGCACAAUGGGCGCAAGCCUGAUGCAGCGACGCCGCGUGAGGGAUGACGGCCUUCGGGUUGUAAACCUCUUUCACCCAUGACGAAGCGCAAGUGACGGUAGUGGGAGAAGAAGCACCGGCCAACUACGUGCCAGCAGCCGCGGUAAUACGUAGGGUGCGAGCGUUGUCCGGAAUUACUGGGCGUAAAGAGCUCGUAGGCGGUUUGUCGCGUCGUCUGUGAAAUCCCGCAGCUCAACUGCGGGCUUGCAGGCGAUACGGGCAGACUCGAGUACUGCAGGGGAGACUGGAAUUCCUGGUGUAGCGGUGAAAUGCGCAGAU
This 591-nucleotide ribosomal RNA is filed under the name Rhodococcus sp. SCAU7030. Its description in RNAcentral is "bacterial SSU rRNA". It matches the Rfam family "Bacterial small subunit ribosomal RNA", at positions 89 to 695 of the family's 1533-position model. The record is from RNAcentral. Lineage: Bacteria; Bacillati; Actinomycetota; Actinomycetes; Mycobacteriales; Nocardiaceae.